This 694-nucleotide ribosomal RNA is filed under the name uncultured bacterium. RNAcentral's name for it is "partial 16S ribosomal RNA". It matches the Rfam family "Bacterial small subunit ribosomal RNA", at positions 111 to 823 of the family's 1533-position model. The record is from RNAcentral.
UAACGCGUGGGUAACCUGCCUCAUAGAGGGGGACAACAGUUGGAAACGACUGCUAAUACCGCNUAGUAAGAAGAAUUCGCAUGUUUUUUUCUUGAAAGAUUUAUCGCUAUGANAUGGACCCGCGUCUGAUUAGNUAGUUGGUAAGGUAACGGCUUACCAAGGCGACGAUCAGNAGCCGGCUUGAGAGAGUGAACGGCCACAUUGGGACUGANACACGGCCCANACUCCUACGGGAGGCAGCAGUGGGGAAUAUUGCACAAUGGGGGAAACCCUGAUGCANCGACNCCGCGUGAGUGAANAAGUAUUUCGGUAUGUAAAGCUCUAUCAGCAGGGAAGAUAAUGACGGUACCUGACUAANAAGCCCCGGCUAACUACGUGCCAGCAGCCGCGGUAAUACGUAGGGGGCAAGCGUUAUCCGGAUUUACUGGGUGUAAAGGGUGCGUAGGUGGCAAGGCAAGUCAGAUGUGAAAGCCCGGGGCUCAACCCCGGUACUGCAUUUGAAACUGUCUAGCUAGAGUGCAGGAGAGGUAAGCGGAAUUCCUAGUGUAGCGNUGAAGUGCGUAGAUAUUAGGAGGAACACCAGNGGCNAAGGCNGCUCACUGGACUGUNACUGACACUGAGGCACGAAAGCGUGGGGAGCAAACAUGAUUAGAUACCCUGNUAGUCCACGCCNUANACGAUGAAUACUASGUGU